CUCUAAGCCUUGGCACAGAGAUGCAAUCUCCAGUUUCUGUUCCGUCAUUUCAGUAUCAAAGUCCAAACCUAAUUUUGACUUCGUUGUUGAGUCCACAUGUUCCUGUAUUGGGGAAGUGGACAUUAUCCAGUGAAAGUGAUGAAAAUAAGGUGUUGAGAAAUUCUGAAUGCUUGUCUACCUUUUCUGGGGGCAACCAUAACCCCAUCAAAACAGAGGUUUCCUGUAAUCCUCAGUGCUUUGAUGCCCACAAAGAUGUUCAUACUGAUACAUAUAUGGACGGAACUUCUGGUUAUGCUAAUGCUAUCUCAAACUCUAAAUACCUCAAGGCAGCACAACAACUGCUUGAUGAAGUGGUUAAUGU
RNAcentral lists this unclassified non-coding RNA (361 nucleotides) under Hevea brasiliensis (rubber tree). Lineage: Eukaryota; Viridiplantae; Streptophyta; Magnoliopsida; Malpighiales; Euphorbiaceae. The record is from RNAcentral.